AGUGAACGCUGGCGGUAGGCCUAACACAUGCAAGUCGAACGGCAGCACAGUAAGAGCUUGCUCUUACGGGUGGCGAGUGGCGGACGGGUGAGGAAUACAUCGGAAUCUACUUUUUCGGGGGGGAUAACGUAGGGAAACUUACGCUAAUACCGCAUACGACCUGCGGGUGAAAGCAGGGGAGCUUCGGACCUUGCGCGAUUGAAUGAGCCGAUGUCGGAUUAGCUAGUUGGCGGGGUAAAGGCCCACCAAGGCGACGAUCCGUAGCUGGUCUGAGAGGAUGAUCCGCCACACUGGAACUGAGACACGGUCCAGACUCCUACGGGAGGCAGCAGUGGGGAAUAUUGGACAAUGGGCGCAAGCCUGAUCCAGCCAUCCCGCGUGGGUGAAGAAGGCCUUCGGGUUGUAAAGCCCUUUUGUUGGGAAAGAAAAGCAGCAGGUUAAUACCCCGCUGUUCUGACGGUACCCAAAGAAUAAGCACCGGCUAACUUCGUG
This 492-nucleotide ribosomal RNA is filed under the name uncultured bacterium. Its description in RNAcentral is "partial 16S ribosomal RNA". It matches the Rfam family "Bacterial small subunit ribosomal RNA", at positions 29 to 507 of the family's 1533-position model. The record is from RNAcentral.